CGAAUAAAUGGUACUGUGUGAUUUAAGAAUGAUUGUGUGAACAGAAUGUAAUACUAACUAAGUGUCGUUUGUAUUGUAUUCAUUAACCAUUCCUUUUACAUGAUUUAAUUAAUUAGUGUUUUGAUAACAUUUUUAAUUCGAAUUAAUUUAAUUAAAUUUUUUUUUAAAUUUUUCUGUUUAUAUUUUAAUGAUUUUGUGUGAUUUACAAACUAUUUGUAUAUAGUUGUCACUCAGAAAUCGCCUUUUCAUUGGUUAAAUAUUUUUGAAAACAGCUGAAUUUGACAUUAUGGAUCCAAUUACUUUUGACUAAUUGUUGGGCUAUCAACAAUAUAUAAUUAAAUCAUAUCCUUUUGUUUAUUACGGCUGCAAGCAAUAAAUUUUUUGUAAAAUUUACUCCAUAAAAAUAAUAGAACGAAAUUGUCGCAAUUUCUAUUUAUAACAUUAUUCAAUAAGUGGCAGCAUCGAUUUGUUGUCAAAACAUCUUGGUGUUUUUUUUUUUUUGUUAACUGAGUUCAAUUGUCAAUUAUUAGUGGAUGAAAUUACGUUUGUAUUUUAUUUCACUUUCGUCUGUGCUGCUCGCGAUCUUUAUUUUUUCUUUGUGUUGUGAUUUUUUCAGUUAUCGUAUUGUUAUUAUUGGUUAUUGGAAACAAUUUAUUAUGCAUAAAAUUAAAAUUAGCACAAUUUUUGUUGAAGUGAAUAUUUGUCAUAAGUUAGGAGACUGUUGAAUCUGCUUCGGUCACAGCGGAUCUGUAUCUCAAUUCCAACAAGUGCAUCGCCUACGUAACUACUCGUCUGCAAAAUAUACAAUAUUGCUGUUCUGCCUUUGUAAUCUCUACUAGCCACACCUAAACUUUCGAAAAGUAUAACUUUAAAUUGCACAAUAUGGUGGAUCGUCUUGUAAAUUCUGAAGCUAAUUCAAGGCGAAUUGCUAUGGUCGAAAGCUGCUUUGGCAGCUCUGGUGUGCCUUUAGCAAUUCCAGGUCGCGUGCUUGUUGGCGAAGGUGUCUUAACUAAGAUGUGCCGCAAGCGACCAAAGUCUCGACAGUUUUUCCUUUUCAACGAUAUAUUGGUAUAUGGUAAUAUUGUAAUUGGAAAGAAGAAAUAUAACAAACAACACAUUAUGCCAUUAGAAGAGGUAUCAUUGGAAUCUCUCGAGGAUAACGGACAAUAUCGUAAUGGUUGGUUGAUACGUACCACAACAAAAUCGUUUGUUGUUUACGCCGCUACAAGUACGGAAAAACAAGAAUGGAUGGCACAUAUCAACAAGUGUGUGGAAGAUUUACUGCGUAAGAGCGGAAAGAAACCUGUGGAAAAUCACGCUGCUGUUUGGGUACCAGACGCCGAAGCCACCCACUGUAUGAAUUGCAAGAAGACACAAUUUACGAUGAUAGUUCGACGUCAUCAUUGUCGCAACUGCGGAGCAGUUGUAUGCGGACCGUGUUCAUCUAAGAAGUUUUUACUGCCUCAACAAAGCUCCAAACCUGUACGUGUCUGUACCGCUUGUUAUGAACGCCUUUCUAAAGCGGUUAAAGCGGAAUCGUCCAAAACGGCCCUUACAAAUGCUGGUGCAAAUUUAACAACACCAUCUUCAGCGUCUAUUGAUGGUAAUGGUAAUGGCACUGGAAAAAUGGUGGACAGUUCGGGUGAUGAUGAUUCGGAGGAAGAAAGCACUGGUGCAGCCAACGAAAUGCACGAUGAACCACGUUUCUACGGUGAUACAACAUUGUCGGCGGAUGAAUCUACGUCAUCAGCGGCGCUUAAUUCCAGUCACACACCUAGUGUUAAUAACUGAUGUGCGCAGUCUACAUGUUUAGAGGGCGGGUUAAUGGACGCAGGUGGUGACGAAUAUGGGGAUAUAUACAGUCGAAAUGUCACAAGAAGGAAAGGGUGUGACGAUAUGCAGCGAAACAAUAAUAAACAAAAUUAUAAAAUUAAACAACGACAGCAAGAAGAAAAAACUGAAAUAAAGCAACCAGAACAGCAACCAGAUGAACGUAGAAAGAAGGUGUGGCAUUUCGUCUGGAAAAGAAAAGGAUUAACGAAGUUGUUUGAUCUUCAAAAGGGAGGAGGAGGAGCGUAAACGGCGUGAAGAACAACGCAUUAAGGAGUUGCGCAAGCUCACUACGUUUAAAGCACGACCAAAUCCUUUUAAAUAGACUCUUCUAAAACACCAACAAUGCAUAGUAACAAAUAUGAUUUAAACGCCACACAAUAGUACAUACAUACAUACAUAUAUAGCAACAUACAAUCAAUUUAUACAGCAAUAAAAUAAAAACGAUGCAUACUUAAUAACAUUUUCACAUUUUCAAAAAAAAAAUAAUAAUAAUAACAAUUAUAAUAAUAUAAAAUAACGGAGUAUAUGUAUGUAUGUAAUAACAUUUUUAUAUAUGAAAAUGAAAUAACGUAACGUUUUAUUAUCUUUAUUACUACAACUAUUAUAUUAGCCUUUUUUCUUACUUGUAAUAAUUUUCGGGAAUACACAUAUACACAUACAUAUUCAUAUGCAUAUAUAUAGCGAUAUACAAUAAUUAACAAAAUGUUAUAUUAUAUUAUAAAUAAGAAAUAUUUAAAUAAUUAAAACACCUACAUUUUACCACAAUAAAAUAAAGCAAAUGUUAAAAUUAGACACUACACAAUAUUUAUGAAACAUAUGAAUGUACAUACAUACAUAAAAAAGCAUGGAAAUGCUAGAAAGAAAAACAGUUGUCUGUUGUUAAACGUGUAGAAGUGAAGUAGCGAGUACUUUAGCUACAUUUACAACACACACCGCGUACAUAUGUAUGUAUAUUGUGCCUAUGCAGUACUAAAACGCUGACGGUAAAAAAAGUUAAAUUUCAA
Molecule: RNA transcript, 2837 nt
Organism: Bactrocera oleae (olive fruit fly)
Lineage: Eukaryota; Metazoa; Arthropoda; Insecta; Diptera; Tephritidae
Gene: mei-38
Gene name: meiotic 38
Source: RefSeq, a predicted model, not a curated record